CCUACGGGAGGCAGCAGUGGGGAAUAUUGGGCAAUGGGCGCAAGCCUGACCCAGCAACGCCGCGUGAAGGAAGAAGGCUUUCGGGUUGUAAACUUCUUUUAAGAGGGAAGAGCAGAAGACGGUACCUCUUGAAUAAGCCACGGCUAACUACGUGCCAGCAGCCGCGGUAAUACGUAGGUGGCAAGCGUUGUCCGGAUUUAUUGGGUUUAAAGGGAGCGUAGGCCGCAUGUCAAGCGUGCUGUGAAAUGUCCGGGCUCAACCCGGGCCUUGCAGCGCGAACUGGCGUGCUUGAGUCCGCGGAAAGCAGGCGGAAUUCGUCGUGUAGCGGUGAAAUGCUUAGAUAUGACGAAGAACCCCGAUUGCGAAGGCAGCUUGCUGCAGCGGAACUGACGCUGAUGCUCGAAAGCGCGGGUAUCGAACAGGAUUAGAUACCCUUGUAGUC
RNAcentral lists this ribosomal RNA (442 nucleotides) under uncultured bacterium. RNAcentral describes it as "partial 16S ribosomal RNA". It matches the Rfam family "Bacterial small subunit ribosomal RNA", at positions 338 to 795 of the family's 1533-position model. The record is from RNAcentral.